CCUACGGGAGGCUGCAGUGAGGAAUAUUGGUCAAUGGGCGAGAGCCUGAACCAGCCAAGUAGCGUGAAGGAUGACUGCCCUAUGGGUUGUAAACUUCUUUUGUAUGGGAAUAAAAUGUUCCACGUGUGGGAUUUUGUAUGUACCAUAUGAAUAAGGAUCGGCUAACUCCGUGCCAGCAGCCGCGGUAAUACGGAGGAUCCGAGCGUUAUCCGGAUUUAUUGGGUUUACAGGGAGCGUAGGUGGAUGGUUAAGUCAGUUGUGAAAGUUUGCGGCUCAACCGUAAAAUUGCAGUUGAAACUGGCAGUCUUGAGUACAGUAGAGGUGGGCGGAAUUCGUGGUGUAGCGGUGAAAUGCUUAGAUAUCACGAAGAACUCCGAUUGCGAAGGCAGCUCACUGGACUGCAACUGACGCUGAGGCUCGAAAGUGUGGGUAUCAAACAGGAUUAGAUACCCCAGUAGUC
Molecule: ribosomal RNA, 460 nt
Filed under: uncultured bacterium
Lineage: Bacteria
Description: partial 16S ribosomal RNA
Rfam family: Bacterial small subunit ribosomal RNA
Source: RNAcentral